This 422-nucleotide ribosomal RNA is filed under the name uncultured bacterium. RNAcentral describes it as "partial 16S ribosomal RNA". It matches the Rfam family "Bacterial small subunit ribosomal RNA", at positions 360 to 774 of the family's 1533-position model. The record is from RNAcentral.
AAUAUUGGACAAUGGGGGCAACCCUGAUCCAGCCAUGCCUCGUGUGUGAAGAAGGNCUNNGGUUUNUNAAGCACAUUAAGUUGNNNNNAAGGGCUUUAGGUUAAUCCCCUGAAAUAUUGACGUUACCAACAGAUUAAGUACCGGCUAACACUCAGCCAGCAGCAGCGGUAAUAAGGUGGGUGCAAGCGUAAAUCGGAAUUACCGGGCGUAAAGCGCGCGUAGGUGGUUCAGUAAGAUGGGUGUGAAAUCCCCGGGCUUAACCUGGGAACUGCUUUCAUAACUGCUGAGCUAGAGUACGGUAGAGGGUAGUGGAAUUUCCUGUGUAGCGGUGAAAUGCGUAGAUAUAGGAAGGAACACCAGUGGCGAAGGCGACUACCUGGACUGAUACUGACACUGAGGUGCGAAAGCGUGGGGAGCAAACA